RNAcentral lists this ribosomal RNA (1511 nucleotides) under Klebsiella pneumoniae. RNAcentral describes it as "bacterial SSU rRNA". It matches the Rfam family "Bacterial small subunit ribosomal RNA". The record is from RNAcentral. Lineage: Bacteria; Pseudomonadati; Pseudomonadota; Gammaproteobacteria; Enterobacterales; Enterobacteriaceae.
AGAGUUUGAUCAUGGCUCAGAUUGAACGCUGGCGGCAGGCCUAACACAUGCAAGUCGAGCGGUAGCACAGAGAGCUUGCUCUCGGGUGACGAGCGGCGGACGGGUGAGUAAUGUCUGGGAAACUGCCUGAUGGAGGGGGAUAACUACUGGAAACGGUAGCUAAUACCGCAUAAUGUCGCAAGACCAAAGUGGGGGACCUUCGGGCCUCAUGCCAUCAGAUGUGCCCAGAUGGGAUUAGCUAGUAGGUGGGGUAACGGCUCACCUAGGCGACGAUCCCUAGCUGGUCUGAGAGGAUGACCAGCCACACUGGAACUGAGACACGGUCCAGACUCCUACGGGAGGCAGCAGUGGGGAAUAUUGCACAAUGGGCGCAAGCCUGAUGCAGCCAUGCCGCGUGUGUGAAGAAGGCCUUCGGGUUGUAAAGCACUUUCAGCGGGGAGGAAGGCGNUCGAUUGACGUUACCCGCAGAAGAAGCACCGGCUAACUCCGUGCCAGCAGCCGCGGUAAUACGGAGGGUGCAAGCGUUAAUCGGAAUUACUGGGCGUAAAGCGCACGCAGGCGGUCUGUCAAGUCGGAUGUGAAAUCCCCGGGCUCAACCUGGGAACUGCAUUCGAAACUGGCAGGCUAGAGUCUUGUAGAGGGGGGUAGAAUUCCAGGUGUAGCGGUGAAAUGCGUAGAGAUCUGGAGGAAUACCGGUGGCGAAGGCGGCCCCCUGGACAAAGACUGACGCUCAGGUGCGAAAGCGUGGGGAGCAAACAGGAUUAGAUACCCUGGUAGUCCACGCCGUAAACGAUGUCGAUUUGGAGGUUGUGCCCUUGAGGCGUGGCUUCCGGAGCUAACGCGUUAAAUCGACCGCCUGGGGAGUACGGCCGCAAGGUUAAAACUCAAAUGAAUUGACGGGGGCCCGCACAAGCGGUGGAGCAUGUGGUUUAAUUCGAUGCAACGCGAAGAACCUUACCUGGUCUUGACAUCCACAGAACUUUCCAGAGAUGGAUUGGUGCCUUCGGGAACUGUGAGACAGGUGCUGCAUGGCUGUCGUCAGCUCGUGUUGUGAAAUGUUGGGUUAAGUCCCGCAACGAGCGCAACCCUUAUCCUUUGUUGCCAGCGGUUAGGCCGGGAACUCAAAGGAGACUGCCAGUGAUAAACUGGAGGAAGGUGGGGAUGACGUCAAGUCAUCAUGGCCCUUACGACCAGGGCUACACACGUGCUACAAUGGCAUAUACAAAGAGAAGCGACCUCGCGAGAGCAAGCGGACCUCAUAAAGUAUGUCGUAGUCCGGAUUGGAGUCUGCAACUCGACUCCAUGAAGUCGGAAUCGCUAGUAAUCGUAGAUCAGAAUGCUACGGUGAAUACGUUCCCGGGCCUUGUACACACCGCCCGUCACACCAUGGGAGUGGGUUGCAAAAGAAGUAGGUAGCUUAACCUUCGGGAGGGCGCUUACCACUUUGUGAUUCAUGACUGGGGUGAAGUCGUAACAAGGUAACCGUAGGGGAACCUGCGGUUGGAUCACCU